This 4683-nucleotide long non-coding RNA is filed under the name Canis lupus familiaris (dog). RNAcentral's name for it is "lncRNA (ENSCAFG00000057908.1)". Lineage: Eukaryota; Metazoa; Chordata; Mammalia; Carnivora; Canidae. The record is from RNAcentral.
AGAGAGAGAGCCAAAGCCUUAAAAUGUAUAUAACUUUGAUUCUCUAUUUAAACUUUAAGGGUAUGUGGUCUAGGUAAAUAAACAUGGCUACAUGAAGAAGAUAAUUAAGGAAAUGCUUGUCGCAUAAAAGUUUAUAGCAGCAAAACUUUUGAAACAACCUAACCAGCUAAAAAUUGGGGAUUGGCUAAACAAAUUAUGGGAUAUCUCUACAAAGGAAUCUAUUGUCGUCAUACCCAUGAUGUAGCAGAUUAUCAAAUGAAAAGAUGCUCCCUAAUCACCAAUAAGUGACAAGAGCAAUUAUAAAUUAUAAAAGGAAUGCAUAAUAUAAUCUUCUUUUUGGUGAUACUAUAAUAUUGUUGAAAGCCUACAUACCAAAAUAUUAACAGUGGUUAUCUAUGGGUGGUGGUAUCACGGGGGAUGUGUACUUCUUUUACUUUCUACAUAUAUUUAUUUCCAAUUCAUUCAAUAGACAAGCAUAUCUUUUGUAGUAAGCUAUACUUGAAACUUCAAGAGGAGUAGACUUUGUUAUAUUCAUUUUUUAUGUCCAAGAUAUAGCACAAAAUAUUGCACAUAAGUGUUCCAUAACUGUGUGUUGAAGAAAAAUAUAUUUAAACAUAUAUUUAUAUUUAGUUAUUAUAAAUAAAAUUAAUAUAGGAUAUAAAUAUAAGAAAUAUAUAUUCUCUAAAGCAAGAGUUGUGGCAGUCGUAAUCUCAGAGGAAAGCAAUAUGUCACCAACACGACCAUUCACAGAAGAAACAGUCACACAGGUCAGGCCAAAUAACUACAGUUAAAGGAAGAAAACCACUAAGUAAUCACCAGGUGGCAGGAAAUAGAACCAGCAACUUAGCUAAGGAAGCCAAUGAGUAUAGUGAGUUCUAGAAACUGCAUCCUCCACAGAGGGCCUAAGAAAUCCAGGCUCUUGGCCAACAGGACUGACUCAGGCCUCCUUCACUUCCUUCUGGAAUUCAAGUGAAAAUAACUCCUCUCUUCUGAGCCCUGAUCAGUAAGCUUGUUUCACACAGCUAGGGUGGGUGCUUAGAACCCUCCAGUGGGCUGGAGACAUUUUGUAAGAUAGGGAGUGUAGUCUGGAAGAAGGAAUUUUUGGAUUUUAAAUGAGAAACAACUCUGCCAUUACCAGCGUGUGAGUUUUGCCAAGUUGCAUUUUCGUUUUACUUGUUAAGUAUGAAUUAGAAAAAUAGCUGUUUGUCACAAGAUUGAGGACAAAAUGGAUAAUGACUGAAAAAAAAUUAAGAAGUACCAUAACUAGGUGUUAAACUAUAAAAUAUAUUACCUUUACUACCCUAGAAAGAGAGAAAUGCCCCAUGUACAUUCUAGAAUGAGAAUGCCAUGUAUGAUUCAUACGGAAGAUGCUGAAAUAUAAUAUGUACUUAGGUUUUGGAGACCAGAUACAAGUGGACUUGGGUGGCAGCCCGGGUGGCUCAGCGGUUUAGUGCCACCUUCCACCUGGGGUGUGAUCCUGGGGACCCGGGAUCGAGUCCCACGUCAGGCUCCCUGCGUGGAGCAUGCUUCUCCCUCUCCCUGUGUCUCUGUCUCUGUCUCUGUCUCUCUCUGUGUGUGUCUCUCAUGAAUAAAUAAAAUCUUAAAAAAACAAAAAAAUGAGUGGACUUGGGUAACUAGAUGAACACAUGCAAAUCUAUUGGUUAAGUCUCUGCACGGAAGCAUUCCUAGGUUUUUAGGUUAUGACAGCCACAAAUAGAUGUGUUAACUGGAAUAGCAGGGUGUGAUUUUGCUGAACUUCGAUAUCUAGAGACAUGUCCCAACAGCGCACAGGAAUACAUUUGCAUUCCAUACUUAUUUUCCUAUUAUCUGAGCUCUAUCUUCUAUUCCACACCAAACAGCAAGCCCUUCCAGACAGCCCCAUUUGUACAAAUAAAGAGCCAUUACUAAUUUGUCAUGAAACGCAGAAGGGGGAAAGUGUGGCACAAUAAAUAAGUGUACUGAACAGUAACAACAAAAGGAUGUGAAAGAUUGCAUAGGUUAAUGAUUAAAAUGAUAGCCAAAGGGAUGGAGUAGCUGGGGAGGGGUUAGGGAUUCUUAAAGGAAAGCCCAUUAGAACUAUAAACAGAAUGAUCUUUUUUAUUAAAUCUGCAACUUCAACUCAUUCAAGGUGGCUUUAAUACAAGAACAUAAGAGACAACACAGUGUGUGGCAAAUGAGCUGUGAUGUCAAGUGGAAAUGACUUCAUUGUUGGCAUUGGACUUAUUAGCUAAGACCUUGAGCAAGUAACUUUUCUGAGCCCCAGUUUCAAUAUCUGUUCAAAAAAAUAAGAGAACAGUUGUAGGAAUUACUGAUAAUCUAUGUGAAGUGCACAGCUGACAUGUAGGUGCGCAUUAAGUAGUAUCCAUUGACAGUGAUGACCUCUCACCCAUAAACCUCAACCAAUGUACCCAAGUAGUUUUAUUCAAAAUAAACUCCUUCCUCUGAAAACAUAAUGGAAUUAACUAGGGAGGGGAAAUCCUCUCCUUGCGCACUGAAGGUGAGUCACUGGCAGGCAGGCAGAAAUUACACAAAGGGAGUGUUUCUGAUUUGAAUAUUGCUCAAAGUGAAAAUUUUAAGCAAGAUUUUCCAAAACAGCUUGGUGCUCUUUUGGCUUUUCUUUAAGUGUUGUGAAUUUAAAGAAUUUAUUCAAAGUCUGUUCCUUAGGGCGCCUCGGUGGCUCAGUCAGUUAAGUGUCUGCCUCCGGCUCAGGGACCCUGGGAUGGAGCUCCACAUCAGGCUCCCUGCUCCAUGCGGACCCUGCUUCUCUCUCUCCUGCUACCCACCACCCCCACCCCCGCUUGUGCUCUCACUCUCUCUUUUAUUUUUAUCUCUGUCAAAUAAAUAAAUAAAAUAUUUUUUAAAAAAAGAAAAAAGAAAAAGAAGAGUAUAGGUAAAGUAAAUGAAACUGUAGACAUAUGCAGACAAAUAUUUUACACGGCUGUUUUUAUGGAACUGUCAAUCAAUCUCUCUCUCCCUUCCCCUGCCCUCCACACACACUAAGGAUGAGCAUCAUUUUAGCUAAACUCAAUGUCAGCCUUGCUUCUUUGUUACCUUUACCUGUCCUUACUCAAAUUAUUCUCCUCAGAUUCCAAACUGGUCCUCACUAUUCGAUUGUGUGAACCCAAGAUCAGACAUCUCUAAAGCUUAUUGUCUACGUGGCCAUGACAUUAUUGUUUGGCUGUCUUCAUUAACAUGACUUCUAUUGUCUUCAUCAACACAACUUUUUUAUUCUAGGAAGCUCUGGAGCAGAGAGAUAAAUGUUUAUUGAUUCUCAAUGCUUUUUGAAACACUCACCUCAAGACACUCAUCUUAUGUCCACCAAUCCAAAACUAGUUUAUCAUAAUCAUUAGCUAAUUCUAAUCAAGCCCUUGUAUUGAAAGACCCAUUUUAAACUCAAACCCAAAAACCACUUAAAUAGUCCAACAUUGUCCUUCCUGCUCCAAGAUGCUAUUAAAACUUUGUCAAGGAAGAAAGCUUACUUACCAUGGUAAGCAACAAACUCAGUUUUGCCUUAGCAACAGGCUAUUUUGGUAGUAUUUUUAGGGAGCUAGCAUUCAGCAAUUGCAAGCCUUCUUGGAGCGGGUGUUCUUAGUUUGAUGAUUAUAGUAUAUAGGAGGGGGGUGUAUGGGUAUAAUUUGAUCUAUAAUAAGAAAGGUUUUUAUAUCUAGUGUUAAUGUGGCUGCUGCCUUUUACUGUUUUCUUCUGUCAUUACAUUCAUGCUUUACCCUAGUGAAAUUCCCUUAAGCUUUCUUCUAAAUGCUGUACUCUCCCCUCACUUUCCUUUGUUCUUCUGGUGUGCAAUGAAAGGUCUCAGGCAUUCCGCACAUCUAAAAGACUACAACCAUGACCCCAUAUUCACUAGACAACAACUCACUGAAGAUUAUCAUAAUCCUCCAGAGGACCCUUCUCCUAAUUAGCAGAUCUCUCCCUGGUCACACUAGCUACACAGCUCAACCUGGCCAGUCCAGAAUUGUUACAUCUCUACAGGUGGUUACUGAGACAGCUUCACAGCUUCUGAGGACAAAGAAGACUGUCUUUUCCAUGGAAGAACAAUGCUUCAAAACAUCCUUUGAAUGGCUACUUUCUAACCUAGGGAGUCUCAACUCAUGUUAUUUUAUUGCAGAUUCCUGUUUCCUAUUUUUAAAUUCCCCUCACCCUUAUGCCCACCAACUCCCAGCAAGUUGCUGCUUUAACAGGUGGAUCUUUGCAACCUAAUGUUUGUAGUAGUCAAGACCAACACAGAAAUGCUUUUAAGCAUUUUAUGAUCAUGGAGAUUCUGAUGCAACCAUUGUAAAUUAUAAAAUCAUCAUGGAUCAGCAAAGCCGUGCUGCAGUUUUCCAUUUGGAAACCCAGCAAUGAAGUGUUUAAAACAAAAGAACAAUGUGAAGAUAAAGCAGAAACAAAGAUUGGUAUCAUUGGUGGGCUAGCUUUUCAGAAUGGUAGAAGAUAUUCACUUUUUUUUAAAAUGAGGCAAUGAGUGUAAAUAAUUAAUAAUAGCAAGUUAUAUAAUGAAUAGUUUCCUUGCCCUUUGUUUCAUGCCUUUUUUAAAACUUUUCCUUUUAUCCUUUUGGUCUACUUUUUAAAAAAGUUAGUGUUUCAUACAUUUUGAAGUGGCAUAACUAAGGCGAGGCCACAACAAAAAUAUAAAAAGAAAUAUAGAAUAACAGGUAAUAGCUGCUUUUU